CAGGAACACAGAUUGGACUUUCUGGAAUAAAGCCACUUGGAAAUAUUGGCCUGGCACCUUGUUUACAGAGAUUCCAGCAAUCUUACCUGCAUAAAUUAUGAACCUUCUUCCUCUGCCACUGGAGAUACAGAGAUAAAUGGCACUGUUUCUGCCUCCAAGAUCUAACAAUCUAAUGGGACGAUGUUCACCAGAAAAGCUAACUGUAAGCUAGGGGAUGAGGACCAUUCUGCAGUUUGGAGACUGAGUGCUAGGACAUGACUGAUGCAUUAUUUAGGUGUGCUCACAGAGAGUAUGUUGAAGAUACAUACAAGAUGCUUUGCAUUCGUAUACUUCCUUGAGUGACAACCGUGAA
Molecule: long non-coding RNA, 352 nt
Filed under: Equus asinus (donkey)
Lineage: Eukaryota; Metazoa; Chordata; Mammalia; Perissodactyla; Equidae
Description: lncRNA (ENSEASG00005033010.1)
Source: RNAcentral